Molecule: long non-coding RNA, 791 nt
Organism: Carassius gibelio (silver crucian carp)
Lineage: Eukaryota; Metazoa; Chordata; Actinopteri; Cypriniformes; Cyprinidae
Exons: 3
Source: RefSeq, a predicted model, not a curated record
UGGUUGAUGUAUGGUUACAAAAAUAUUUUUUGGCAUAUAUUGAUCUCGUUGGUUUAAUGUAUCUCUGAAAUAAUUUUAUUGGAAAUGUCUGUUCAUCCAGGAAGUUCACAUUGAUCACAGCAUGAAGGAUAACAACCCCAUGGACCAUGUCUAUUUCUACAGCAAGCAUGAUCCCAAGAAAGUCUCCCCAAUGACUGAUCAGAUGUUUCUGCCAAUGACGUUUUAUGAAAGGCUGUUUAGAGUGUACUAUAAAGGCCCAGAAGAAAAGGUGAAAGAAGCCCAGCAGUGUUUUGAGACGUGGCACAAUCAUUCGUUUUUAACCAAUGUCUGAGAUCUUUUCAUUGAGGAACAGCACUUCCAGGAUAAAGUAUACAUGUGUAGUGCUGACUGUCCUAAUUUCAGGCAGGUAGCUGGAUUGGAGCACUAUUGUUCCAGCUGUGUAGAGAGUGGGACCUGGGUGUUGAAUGAGAUCUCCAACGACACUGGCAUGCAAAUAUAUGACUUUGCAAUGAUUUUAUUUCAUUUAUUUUUUCUAUUUAAUGUUUUUUUAAUUAAUCCGACAUCCAUUGUUUCUUCUUACCAAAUAUUAAGACAUACACAGAAAUGCCAAUACGGUGAUUAGUUUAGUUACAAUAACUAGUUUAGCUGAAAUGAAUGUUUUAGUUCCUUCUUUACAUAUACAGUAGGAUAUUUUGACAUUAUGGCUGAUUUAUAUCAUUGCAUUAGUAGCUCUAUUUGCUUGUUUUUGUUUGUAAUUAUUCACUCAAUGAUGUAUAGGGAUAAAUACUUGA